This 433-nucleotide ribosomal RNA is filed under the name uncultured bacterium. Its description in RNAcentral is "partial 16S ribosomal RNA". It matches the Rfam family "Bacterial small subunit ribosomal RNA", at positions 29 to 507 of the family's 1533-position model. The record is from RNAcentral.
AACGAACGCUGGCGGCAUGCCUAACACAUGCAAGUCGAACGAGACCUUCGGGUCUAGUGGCGCACGGGUGCGUAACGCGUGGGAACCUGCCCUUAGGUUCGGAAUAACUCCCCGAAAGGGGUGCUAAUACCGGAUAAUGUCUUCGGACCAAAGAUUUAUCGCCUUUGGAUGGGCCCGCGUUGGAUUAGCUAGUUGGUAGGGUAAAAGCCUACCAAGGCGACGAUCCAUAGCUGGUCUGAGAGGAUGAUCAGCCACACUGGGACUGAGACACGGCCCAGACUCCUACGGGAGGCAGCAGUGGGGAAUUUUGGACAAUGGGCGAAAGGCUGAUCCAGCAAUGCCGCGUGAGUGAUGAAGGCCUUAGGGUUGUAAAGCUCUUUUACCCGGGAUGAUAAUGACAGUACCGGGAGAAUAAGCUCCGGCUAACUCCGUG